GGUCGAACCUUCUGGUUCAGGUCGCAGGAAGGGAAAACCCCCUAUAUGGGGGUCAAUUUCUCAAAUUGAAGAAGAAUUAACGAGAUUGGAGCUUGAUUCUAUCAUCCUUCUCGAUUUCUAUGGAUAAUGGUGAGAUAACGUUUGGAUGUCAACGGGUCAAACGGGUGAUAAAGCAACAACACUCCUACGGGCGAAGGUGAGUGACUCGAAUGUGUUUGGAUUCGAAUUGAAUUAAAUAGUAUUCUUGUUAACUUGAAACUUUAUAGUUAAGGUGGACGGUGUAAUUGGGGUUCGAUUUAACAAUAACGUAUUGUUUUUAUUAUGUUUUUGGGGUUUAAAACCACUGAAAAAUAGUGCAAAUUGUUAAUGGGUCGAGAGACCAAAGUGCUGAAAAUUCAGCUUAUUUCCAUAUUUUUACCAAUCUUUAAAAAUUCAUAGUAAAUCAACUGAAUGUCCGUUCGGGGCGUAUUUUAUGUCCACGGAAAGGUCUCUGAGUCCCCGUCACUAAGAAUUUUAGUUUGAAGUGAAAUAUUUAUUGUAAAUGGGGGAAAACACUGAACUACUAAGAUUGAAAAAUAUGAAUUUUAUAGUACUUGCAUAAUCUUGGGGAAUUUACAAAGAAUCCAUUGGAUGUGAUUUUGUUAUUGUUGUAAACCUUAAUGUGAUUAUAUAUAUUUACAUGAGUUGAAAUGAGUGAUUCCUUGAAUAUGGGGUAUGCAUGCUAAAUUAAGAAGUCAUUGGUGUUGUGACCCGUAUGUGCAAACAUACGUGAUUAUUGAGUAGUGCUUAUAAAUGAAUGACACUUGUGUCGUUAAACAUAUGUGACCUAAUUGAGUAUGUUAUGAAUACAUACAUGAAUUUUUAAGAGUAGGUUAAGUAAAAUGACCGUUGAUAAGCGUAUAUGUUGUUUAAUGAAUUACAAUAUAGUUAUGCGACGGUUUACUAUUUUAUUUAUAUUGCCCGGAUUGCUUUAAUAAUGGUUUCCUUUGAAGUGCCCUUGACUCUAUGUUAGCAGGGAUAUACAUGAGAUAUGGAUAAAAGGCUCCCGGAUUAGAAAGGAGAAAAUUACGGAAUGCAUGACUUGAGAUAAUGAAGUGGAGGCUCGACGUUGUUUUGUUGGGCGUCAUGAGCAUUAAAAAAAACCUCCUUUAUGUUUGAUACAAAAAAAAUAUAAUAUUACGAGUCCUCACUUAGCAAAAGCUAAUUUUUUGUAUCUUCAAUGUAGGUGAUAUGUUUGAAAACAAUGAACGGAUAGACAAGUUAUGAGAAACAACGGGGUGGCUUGAACCGGUAACAUGCAAGAAGAAAAGAACUCAAAAGUCGUUCACCAAUAAUCCGAUUCGGGUGGUAGAAAGGCGAAAGUGCUCAAGUCUUGGAAGCGGGUCAACUAUGGAAAGAUUUAGUGAUGAUUUAUUCACUAAGUAUAUGGGUUCUUAUCGGGUCAACUUGACCUAGUUAUUUACAUUUUGGAGUUUAACUUCAGUGUUUGUUUUAGCUAAGCGCUAGUAUGUCAAUGUAGUAGUUGGUUAUGUUUGUUUUAUAAAACUUUCGACUUUGGUUAUUAAGCAGGUUUUGUCU
This 1578-nucleotide long non-coding RNA is filed under the name Helianthus annuus (common sunflower). RNAcentral describes it as "hypothetical non coding rna". The record is from RNAcentral. Lineage: Eukaryota; Viridiplantae; Streptophyta; Magnoliopsida; Asterales; Asteraceae.